GACGAUUAUUGGGCCUAAAGCAUCCGUAGCCGGUCCUGCAAGUCUUCCGUUAAAUCCAGCUGCUCAACAGAUGGGCUGCGGGGGAUACUACAUGGCUAGGAGGCGGGAGAGGCAAGCGGUACUUUAUGGGUAGGGGUAAAAUCCGUUGAUCCAUAGAAGACCACCAGUGGCGAAGGCGGCUUGCCAGAACGCGCUCGACGGUGAGGGAUGAAAGCUGGGGGAGCAAACCGG
RNAcentral lists this ribosomal RNA (231 nucleotides) under uncultured bacterium. RNAcentral's name for it is "partial 16S ribosomal RNA". It matches the Rfam family "Archaeal small subunit ribosomal RNA", at positions 497 to 727 of the family's 1478-position model. The record is from RNAcentral.